Molecule: non-coding RNA, 46 nt
Organism: Chelonia mydas (Green sea turtle)
Lineage: Eukaryota; Metazoa; Chordata; Testudines; Cheloniidae
Source: Rfam
GCAAAGGCUCUUUUCAGACCCACCACAUUUCUCCUGAAAGGAGCUA